AUGCAGUUCCUCAGAGCUAGACGCCACACAUGUAAUGUGUCGCGCCUAUCCCGUAGGCGCUGCACUGUGACUUACAUGCAGCCGCCGCACGCUAGCCCUCCCGCACCCAUCCCAUUCUUCCAGCGGUUACAGAUGCAUCGCGGCGGCAGCUGGCUCCUCUCCACUUCUCAAUCCCCUCUUCAAAAAUAUUUAGAUAUGAUGAUUUGGUCCAUGGAAUUCUUCACCAUUCCAUCCUACAAGAUGAUUUGGCUUCUCGAUGAUCACUAUGACACUCGACACUGGGCCUACUUGAUGUCGGUGGAUAAGCGGGAGCUUCAACCUCUAAAGAUUCAGUCUCACGGGGUCAUACUUGGGGGGGGGGGGAUGCGCUAUGAUCAGCGGUACACACCGUACAUAAGGGAGACACGACUUCUCCCUUUCAUUCAGUUGGUCAGUCGGUCGACGUCGAACCUCAAUGUUGCAACAAUUACCGCGCUUGUUUAUCAUUGGAGGCCGAAGACACGGAGUUUCCAUCUUCAGACCGGGGAGAUGACCGUUACGCUACAAGAUAUUGCUAUGAUCGCCGGUCUUCCUAUUGAGGGGAAUCCUCUUUGUAUGGUUCCUCCAGAGCCUCCGGUACCAGAAGGAUACAAGAAGAAGUUUUGCCAUGAGGAUGCUACUGAUGAUGAGGUUAAGAUAUAUGCUCGUGUCUACAUGUGGUACGUUAUAUCCAGGACUAUGUUUGCUGAUGGCAAGAAUGCCCCAUGGAUGUGGCUGAAGGCGUUGACGGUGGAAUGGGAGUCGUAUGGAGAAGGGGAUAUAUUUGGUAAACCUCUAGAAUUCGUGUUGAAUCCGAUGUGCCUUCGGGAUAGGGAUCUAUGGCAUAUGCAGUGCCCACUCAUAUGCAACUGGGCGGUUGAGCUUCACAUGCCAUAUCGGGUGUUUUGCCAGUUUGGUUUGUUCCAGCCACACCCGCCGAAGUGGGAGGAUACGGACAAGUUGCUACACGGGUAA
RNAcentral lists this ribosomal RNA (993 nucleotides) under Triticum aestivum (bread wheat). Its description in RNAcentral is "partial small subunit ribosomal RNA". The record is from RNAcentral. Lineage: Eukaryota; Viridiplantae; Streptophyta; Magnoliopsida; Poales; Poaceae.